UGUUGGUUCUCCCGCAACGCUAGCUUGUGAAUUCGGUCAGGUCCGGAAGGAAGCAGCCGUAGCAGGUGAUGUGUGUGCCGGGAUGUAGCUGGCAGGGC
RNAcentral lists this signal recognition particle RNA (98 nucleotides) under Edwardsiella tarda ATCC 23685. RNAcentral describes it as "Bacterial signal recognition particle RNA". It matches the Rfam family "Bacterial small signal recognition particle RNA". From Rfam's summary of the family: The signal recognition particle (SRP) is a universally conserved ribonucleoprotein involved in the co-translational targeting of proteins to membranes. Archaeal SRP consists of a 7S RNA and homologues of the eukaryotic SRP19 and SRP54 proteins. Lineage: Bacteria; Pseudomonadati; Pseudomonadota; Gammaproteobacteria; Enterobacterales; Hafniaceae. The record is from RNAcentral.